RNAcentral lists this ribosomal RNA (477 nucleotides) under uncultured bacterium. RNAcentral's name for it is "partial 16S ribosomal RNA". It matches the Rfam family "Bacterial small subunit ribosomal RNA", at positions 28 to 507 of the family's 1533-position model. The record is from RNAcentral.
GAUUAACGCUGGCGGCGUGCAUAACACAUGCAAGUCGAACGACGAAACUUAGUAGACUUCUUCGGAAAGACACUAAGCGGAUUAGUGGCGAACGGGUGAUUAACGCGUGAGUAACCGGCCUUACACAAGGGGAUAGCCUUUGGAAACGAAGAAUAAUACCCUAUAAAACCAUAAAAGCACAUGCUAGAAUGGUCAAAGUGAUAGCGGUGUAAGAUGGACUUGCAUCUGAUUAGCUAGUUGGUGAGAUAAAAGCUCACAAAGGCAACGAUCAGUAGCCGGCUUGAGAGAGUGUACGGCACCACUAGGACAGAGACAAGUCCCAGACUCCUGCGGGAGGCAGCAAGGGUGAACUAUGCACAAUGGGGGAGAGACUGAUGCAGCGACGCCGCGAGAUUUAGAAGUCCUUCGGGUUGUAAAAAACUUUUGUAUAGGAAGAAUAUGACAGUACUAUACGAAUAAGGUCCGGCUAAUUACGUG